Molecule: non-coding RNA, 1729 nt
Organism: Doryrhamphus excisus (bluestripe pipefish)
Lineage: Eukaryota; Metazoa; Chordata; Actinopteri; Syngnathiformes; Syngnathidae
Source: RefSeq, a predicted model, not a curated record
ACUUUUCCUCCAGUAAAGACAGCCUCGCCUUUUCUUUCUCUUCCAGUCUUGUCUCGGAGCGCUCUUGUUCUGGUGUCUGACGGGAUAAAAAGAAAUCACGUUUUAAUCUUGCAAGAUAUCUUGUGACACCAACAUUUGUUGCAGUGCUAACAAAAGUGCCACCAUUAGAUGGCGAUAUAAGAUUAGCAAGACACGCUGCACGUGAAGAAAAACACACGAAGAAGAAGGAGACCGGUUUCUUUUUUUUUGUUAGCAAAGGAGCUAAAAAGUCCAACUUUGAUGUUUUAUUUGUCGUGGAAAGAGAAUAUUAGAACGUUGAUGUGAAGUUUGAAUGUAACCCAUUGCUAACAUUAUUCUAUUAUUACCGUCGAAGCCUGUGACAUGUUUAUAAUCAACAUUGUAAGGCAAUAUGAAGCAUAUUCAUCAUAUUAUCAUCACGAGUGUUCCAUCUCCAGCUGGCUGAUCCUGGACUGAAGCUGUGGCACAGAUUCCGCUUGCUCCUGAAUCCUUCUGACCUUCUCAAGCCCCAAGCUCAAGGCCUCUCUGGCCUCCUCUGCUCGCCUCCUGGUGGAGAUGGUGACCCUUGUAUUGCAUGCAAACCAACAAAUGAUUUGUGAUUGAGCCGGAUUCCAACCUAAUGUGGAUGUUCUCCCUCCUCAGAGCACACUCCGACGCCUGAAGCUUUCUCACUUCCUGGUACGCCCAUCGCAACUCCUCCUCCAUACGUUGAUUGAACUUAAUGGCCUCUUCCAGCUGUCCAUCACGAGACGAUCGUAUCAGCUUCAACUCUCUCAGGAGUGGGUCCCAUGUGUCCCAUCGCCUCAUCGGCCUCCUCGCAGCGUCUCCUGCGUCAGCGCGUCCUUUAAUGCGGCGUGUGGGCACCAGCUUGCCUUGUAUGAGGGAAAUGGAGGUAGUGGGUGACGAAACAGCCGUCGGAUUCGGGAGCAGGCGGCGCCGCUCUCGUCUCAGAGCCACUUCGAGGGCCAGACAGCGCGCGUCGCUCCCUUGCAGGGCUGAGCGCAGAUCCUCCACCAGCUCCCUGAGUGCCGCUAACUCUUCUGGUGGUGGAGAGUGGAAGGAGUCCGUAGCAUGGGCGAGGCCACCGGAGAAGAAUCUGCCUCUCCACCAGCUCGGUCUCCUCGGUGACGGGCAGCCGCCAGCCUCUUUGCGCCGUGCGCACACGAAAGAAGCCGCACAGACGCGCGUGGAAGUCCUUAAAAGUUAACUGACACGGCAACCCGGAGCAAACGUCGCCGAACUCUUCCUCGUCGUCGCCAUCUCCAGCUAAGGUUCCCUUCGUGCUCCUCUGACCCUUCCGAGCUCCUGUGACACCCAGGACUGCGCACAGCGUAGUGAAGUCCUCCGCGGACACUUUAUCUUCCCUGUUGGGGUAAGCAAGAUGGUGGAAGACCUCCUGCAAGUAUUGGUCUAUUCCGGUGGCCAGGACGACUAUUUCAUUCUCCACGCCGGGAUCGGGGUUGUGGUGGUGGGCCAAGGCGCACCGGAGCCAUUCGCUCCUCCGAGCUGCUCGUGGCCAAGGCUGGAUGCACCUCAUAGCUGAUAUCGGCAAGUAUUCUCCUAGGUAGGUAUCAGCCGAUAGUCUAAACUUUAAGGAUUUUGCACCAAAUUCCCUGAAAAGCUAACAUUGACUUCAUUCCCGGAUCAUCAACUCUACAUCUGAUCCCUUCAACAGAGAAGUCGGGGGCGGGCAGGUCGAGCCAAAUGUCGA